Molecule: ribosomal RNA, 1431 nt
Filed under: Bacillus pumilus
Lineage: Bacteria; Bacillati; Bacillota; Bacilli; Caryophanales; Bacillaceae
Description: bacterial SSU rRNA
Rfam family: Bacterial small subunit ribosomal RNA
Source: RNAcentral
AGCGGACAGAAGGGAGCUUGCUCCCGGAUGUUAGCGGCGGACGGGUGAGUAACACGUGGGUAACCUGCCUGUAAGACUGGGAUAACUCCGGGAAACCGGAGCUAAUACCGGAUAGUUCCUUGAACCGCAUGGUUCAAGGAUGAAAGACGGUUUCGGCUGUCACUUACAGAUGGACCCGCGGCGCAUUAGCUAGUUGGUGAGGUAACGGCUCACCAAGGCGACGAUGCGUAGCCGACCUGAGAGGGUGAUCGGCCACACUGGGACUGAGACACGGCCCAGACUCCUACGGGAGGCAGCAGUAGGGAAUCUUCCGCAAUGGACGAAAGUCUGACGGAGCAACGCCGCGUGAGUGAUGAAGGUUUUCGGAUCGUAAAGCUCUGUUGUUAGGGAAGAACAAGUGCAAGAGUAACUGCUUGCACCUUGACGGUACCUAACCAGAAAGCCACGGCUAACUACGUGCCAGCAGCCGCGGUAAUACGUAGGUGGCAAGCGUUGUCCGGAAUUAUUGGGCGUAAAGGGCUCGCAGGCGGUUUCUUAAGUCUGAUGUGAAAGCCCCCGGCUCAACCGGGGAGGGUCAUUGGAAACUGGGAAACUUGAGUGCAGAAGAGGAGAGUGGAAUUCCACGUGUAGCGGUGAAAUGCGUAGAGAUGUGGAGGAACACCAGUGGCGAAGGCGACUCUCUGGUCUGUAACUGACGCUGAGGAGCGAAAGCGUGGGGAGCGAACAGGAUUAGAUACCCUGGUAGUCCACGCCGUAAACGAUGAGUGCUAAUUUUUAGGGGGGUUUCCGCCCCUUAGUGCUGCAGCUAACGCAUUAAGCACUCCGCCUGGGGGAGUACGGUCGCAAGACUGAAACUCAAAGGAAUUGACGGGGGCCCGCACAAGCGGUGGAAGCAUGUGGUUUAAUUCGAAGCAACGCGAAGAACCUUACCAGGUCUUGACAUCCUCUGACAACCCUAAGAGAUAGGGCUUUCCCUUCGGGGACAGAGUGACAGGUGGUGCAUGGUUGUCGUCAGCUCGUGUCGUGAGAUGUUGGGUUAAGUCCCGCAACGAGCGCAACCCUUGAUCUUAGUUGCCAGCAUUCAGUUGGGCACUCUAAGGUGACUGCCGGUGACAAACCGGAGGAAGGUGGGGAUGACGUCAAAUCAUCAUGCCCCUUAUGACCUGGGCUACACACGUGCUACAAUGGACAGAACAAAGGGCUGCGAGACCGCAAGGUUUAGCCAAUCCCACAAAUCUGUUCUCAGUUCGGAUCGCAGUCUGCAACUCGACUGCGUGAAGCUGGAAUCGCUAGUAAUCGCGGAUCAGCAUGCCGCGGUGAAUACGUUCCCGGGCCUUGUACACACCGCCCGUCACACCACGAGAGUUUGCAACACCCGAAGUCGGUGAGGUAACCUUUAUGGAGCCAGCCGCCGAAGGUGGGGCAGAUGAU